GACGAACGCUGGCGGCGUGCUUAACACAUGCAAGUCGAACGGAAAGGCCCUGCUUUUGUGGGGUGCUCGAGUGGCGAACGGGUGAGUAACACGUGCGUAACCUGCCCUUGACUUUGGGAUAACUUCAGGAAACUGGGGCUAAUACCGGAUAGGAGCUCCUGCUGCAUGGUGGGGGUUGGAAAGUUUCGGCGGUUGGGGAUGGGCUCGCGGCUUAUCAGCUUGUUGGUGGGGUAGUGGCUUACCAAGGCUUUGACGGGUAGCCGGCCUGAGAGGGUGACCGGCCACAUUGGGACUGAGAUACGGCCCAGACUCCUACGGGAGGCAGCAGUGGGGAAUAUUGCACAAUGGGCGGAAGCCUGAUGCAGCGACGCCGCGUGCGGGAUGACGGCCUUCGGGUUGUAAACUGCUUUCGCCUGUGACGAAGCGUGAGUGACGGUAAUGGGUAAAGAAGCACCGGCUAACUACGUG
RNAcentral lists this ribosomal RNA (468 nucleotides) under uncultured bacterium. RNAcentral describes it as "partial 16S ribosomal RNA". It matches the Rfam family "Bacterial small subunit ribosomal RNA", at positions 28 to 507 of the family's 1533-position model. The record is from RNAcentral.